Molecule: ribosomal RNA, 425 nt
Filed under: uncultured bacterium
Lineage: Bacteria
Description: partial 16S ribosomal RNA
Rfam family: Bacterial small subunit ribosomal RNA
Source: RNAcentral
GUGGGGAAUAUUGGACAAUGGGCGCAAGCCUGAUCCAGCCAUGCCGCGUGAGUGAUGAAGGCCUUAGGGUUGUAAAGCUCUUUCGUCAGGGAAGAUAAUGACGGUACCUGAAGAAGAAGCCCCGGCUAACUUCGUGCCAGCAGCCGCGGUAAUACGAAGGGGGCUAGCGUUGCUCGGAAUCACUGGGCGUAAAGCGCACGUAGGCGGAUUGGUCAGUUAGAGGUGAAAUCCUGGAGCUCAACUCCAGAACUGCCUUUAAUACUGCCAGUCUAGAGUCCAGAAGAGGUGAGUGGAACUCCUAGUGUAGAGGUGGAAUUCGUAGAUAUUAGGAAGAACACCAGUGGCGAAGGCGGCUCACUGGUCUGGUACUGACGCUGAGGUGCGAAAGCGUGGGGAGCAAACAGGAUUAGAAACCCUGGUAGUCC